RNAcentral lists this transfer RNA (64 nucleotides) under Henosepilachna vigintioctomaculata. RNAcentral describes it as "tRNA-Phe". Lineage: Eukaryota; Metazoa; Arthropoda; Insecta; Coleoptera; Coccinellidae. The record is from RNAcentral.
AUUUAAAUAGCUUAAAAAGAGCGUAAUAUUGAAGAUAUUAAGGUAAUUGAAAAAUUUUUAAAUA